RNAcentral lists this ribosomal RNA (234 nucleotides) under uncultured Lactobacillus sp. Its description in RNAcentral is "partial 16S ribosomal RNA". It matches the Rfam family "Bacterial small subunit ribosomal RNA", at positions 129 to 355 of the family's 1533-position model. The record is from RNAcentral. Lineage: Bacteria; Bacillati; Bacillota; Bacilli; Lactobacillales; Lactobacillaceae.
CCCAAGAGAUCGGGAUAACACCUGGAAACAAGAUGCUAAUACCGGAUAACAACAGAUGAUGCCUAUCAACUGUUUAAAAGAUGGUUCUGCUAUCACUCUUGGAUGGACCUGCGGUGCAUUAGCUAGUUGGUAGGGUAACGGCCUACCAAGGCGAUGAUGCAUAGCCGAGUUGAGAGACUGAUCGGCCACAUUGGGACUGAGACACGGCCCAAACUCCUACGGGAGGCAGCAGCC